RNAcentral lists this small RNA (132 nucleotides) under Planktothrix agardhii. Its description in RNAcentral is "HEARO". It matches the Rfam family "HNH endonuclease-associated RNA and ORF (HEARO) RNA", at positions 1 to 132 of the family's 211-position model. The record is from RNAcentral. Lineage: Bacteria; Bacillati; Cyanobacteriota; Cyanophyceae; Oscillatoriales; Microcoleaceae.
GUCAGCACCCCGCACUGAAGUUACGGGGCUUCAUGCCUCCCACUUCAGUUAGUUGACCAGCCUAAGUCUUAACUGACUACGUUUUUUGAGUCAUGACACCCUGUGGAUGCGAAGCUAGUCCCUGGCUCUGUC